RNAcentral lists this ribosomal RNA (444 nucleotides) under uncultured prokaryote. Its description in RNAcentral is "bacterial SSU rRNA". It matches the Rfam family "Bacterial small subunit ribosomal RNA", at positions 355 to 796 of the family's 1533-position model. The record is from RNAcentral.
UAAGGAAUAUUGGACAAUGGACGAAAGUCUGAUCCAGCCAUCCCGCGUGAAGGAUGAAUGCCCUAUGGGUUGUAAACUUCUUUUGUUUGGGAAGAAACUCACGUGAUUUCACGUGACUGACGGUACCAUUCGAAUAAGCACCGGCUAACUCCGUGCCAGCAGCCGCGGUAAUACGGAGGGUGCAAGCGUUAUCCGGAAUCACUGGGUUUAAAGGGUGCGUAGGUGGCGCUAUAAGUCUGAGGUGAAAGCUCGCAGCUCAACUGUGAAAUUGCCUUAGAUACUGUAGUGCUUGAAUUACGUUGAGGUCAGCGGAAUGUGACAUGUAGCGGUGAAAUGCAUAGAUAUGUCAUAGAACACCAAUUGCGUAGGCAGCUGACUGGGCGUCGAUUGACACUGAGGCACGAAAGCGUGGGUAGCGAACAGGAUUAGAUACCCGUGUAGUCC